RNAcentral lists this transfer RNA (72 nucleotides) under Marmota monax (woodchuck). RNAcentral's name for it is "tRNA.Ala". The record is from RNAcentral. Lineage: Eukaryota; Metazoa; Chordata; Mammalia; Rodentia; Sciuridae.
GGGAGUGUAGCUCAGUGAUACAGCACCUGCAUAGCAUGCACAAGGCCCUGAGUUUGAUUCUCAACACUUUAA